AGGAGGAACAACCGCAGUGGCGGCGCCAGCUCUGCAGCCCUGGAGUCAGCUCCUGCAGUAGCUCCAGAGCUCUCCGUCUCCAGGGCCUGGAGGCUCCAGGGCAGG
Molecule: non-coding RNA, 105 nt
Organism: Canis lupus familiaris (dog)
Lineage: Eukaryota; Metazoa; Chordata; Mammalia; Carnivora; Canidae
Source: Rfam